CAGUGGCGAAGCUGAUCCAGCCAUGCCGCGUGUGUGAGAAGGUCUUCGGAUUGUAAAGCUCUUUAAGUUGGGAGGAAGGGCAGUAAGUUAAUACCUUGCUGUUUUGACGUUACCAACACAAUAAGCCCCGGCUAACUUCGUGCCAGCAGCCGCGGUAAUUA
RNAcentral lists this ribosomal RNA (161 nucleotides) under uncultured bacterium. RNAcentral's name for it is "partial 16S ribosomal RNA". It matches the Rfam family "Bacterial small subunit ribosomal RNA", at positions 369 to 525 of the family's 1533-position model. The record is from RNAcentral.